CACGGUUGGUCCCUCUUGUUCCGAGGCUCCAGAGUCUGGGCCUGAACAGCUCCUGCUCCUCUGGCUCCCAGCUGGCUGUGGCGACUGGGGUGGGCUCUCUAAGCUGGUGGCACUGGCACUCCCCGCUGUGAACUGGUAACAGAAUGCAUCAGGUGCUGGGAUGCGCCCUUCAUGAGAGGCCAGGGGCUGAGCCACCUGUUCGCGGGAACAGAGGAGCACUUCUAGAAAGGGAGCCAUGUUGAGGUGUGGCUGGUGGCCCCUGCUGCACUGCACGGAGGAACCAAGGAGAGGGUCAGUGUCCCAGGCACACCCUGCGGGCCAAAGGCACCUCGGCGUGCCCUGAGGGAGGACUUGAGGUCACUGGCUGAGGUUGCUGAAAACCAAGCACCAGCCGUCAUGCUGCUGAGUUACAGGGCAAGUUCAGCGUCAGCCCCGGAGAGCGUCUGCAAAGUGGGGGCGCUGCUUGGAAAGGAGGGAUCCUGUGAUUUGGGGUGCAGAGGCCCCCGAAGGUGAUUCUGAGGAAGUGGCCUCCCGCCCUCAGCAUAGGGCACCCCACCUCUGCUGUCUGUGGAUUGGCCUCCCACUGCCCCCGCGGGUCCUGCUUUGCCUCUGGAAACAGGAAUGACCUUCCGUGGCUCCUCGGACCUCUUCGCCACCUCCUUCCACCUCCAGGCCCCCGCUACCUCCAGACCUCAGCAGGCGCAGAGGUGAGGUGUGCCGUGUGACCACACCAAGGCCACCCCUUGAGUCUCCUUUUUUGGUACCGGGAUUGAUCCAAGGGUCACCACUGAGCUCCAUCUCCAGCCCUUUUUAAAAAUUUUAAACU
Molecule: long non-coding RNA, 826 nt
Filed under: Marmota monax (woodchuck)
Lineage: Eukaryota; Metazoa; Chordata; Mammalia; Rodentia; Sciuridae
Source: RNAcentral